AAGAUACUCCCUCCGUCCCAAAAUUCUUGUCUUAGAUUUGUCUAGAUACAGAUGUAUCAAGUCACGUUUUAGUAUUAGAUACGUCCGUAUCUAGACAAAUCUAAGACAAGAAAUUUUGGGACGGAGGGAGUAUAUG
Triticum aestivum (bread wheat) is the source of this 136-nucleotide non-coding RNA. The record is from Rfam. Lineage: Eukaryota; Viridiplantae; Streptophyta; Magnoliopsida; Poales; Poaceae.